UAGGGAGUACGUCAUCAUCCGGCGCCUGCAGAUAACCCUGCGUCUGGGUUCCUAAGUGGUUGGGAGCGUGUCUUUAUGGGCCGUGUUGGUUUUGUCCGACGUCUUAUAAGGUUUCUGCAUGCUGAAGAUCCAGUAGGAACUACUAAGAAGUAGGAACAGUGGGACUCCUAGAUGGAAACGACCAGAGUUUCUUCUUCACUGACUGCAAACUUGUUCUGUAAUAUGAUUGCAAGAUGUUUCUUUAUUUUGUUACACUGAUAUAUUUGAGGUAUUGUCUCAGAGUGUAGAUUUGUUUUCAGGUGAUGAUGAUAUUGAAUUGAACACAGAAACAUUCAAUUCACUAUCCUAACUAUAGAUUUAAGGAUUAGAUCAGUUUACUCACAUGGGUGAUGGGUGACAGACAUUCAGUUUUUUCCAUCCUAUAAGUAAAACUUAGUUGAAACAAAUCAUCAGUGCAAUUCUCAUUUGUAAAUAAGCAUGACAAAUGUUUAUUUACAUUUGUCAUGAUGGGUACAACAUCAAUCCUAAAAAAGAGUACAUAAGUCCAAUUUAUGAGGAACAUGCUGUAAUAAAGAGAAGCAAA
Bubalus bubalis (water buffalo) is the source of this 583-nucleotide long non-coding RNA. RefSeq lists it as uncharacterized. The record is from RefSeq and is a predicted model, not a curated record. The transcript has 2 exons. NCBI's taxonomy places the organism in Eukaryota, Metazoa, Chordata, Mammalia, Artiodactyla, Bovidae.